Molecule: ribosomal RNA, 292 nt
Filed under: uncultured bacterium
Lineage: Bacteria
Description: partial 16S ribosomal RNA
Rfam family: Bacterial small subunit ribosomal RNA
Source: RNAcentral
GUGUCAGCCGCCGCGGUAAUACGUAGGGUCCAAGCGUUAUCCGGAAUCACUGGGCGUAAAGCGUGCGUAGGCGGAAGUUUAAGUGUGAUGUUAAAUCGUGUGGCUCAACCAUAUCGAUGCAUCGCAAACUGGGCUUCUAGAGGAUGGCAGAGGCAAGUGGAAUUGGCAGUGUAGCAGUGAAAUGCGUAGAGAUUGCCAGGAACACCAAUGGCGAAGGCAGCUUGCUGGGCCACACCUGACGCUGAGGUACGAAAGCGUGGGGAGCGAACAGGAUUAGAUACCCUGGUAGUCC